Molecule: long non-coding RNA, 685 nt
Organism: Gasterosteus aculeatus aculeatus (three-spined stickleback)
Lineage: Eukaryota; Metazoa; Chordata; Actinopteri; Perciformes; Gasterosteidae
Source: Ensembl
GUAACACACAUGCACAGGACUAGUCAGGUCAGGCCACACCUUCUCUUUCAAUGGUUUGUCUGGAGACUAAGAGUUAGUCCAGUUACCAGCCUCACAAAGCUCAGGUUAGAACCCACAGAAAGGCCUCUCAGAACCCAAUCAGGCCCACAAGGUCCAAUGGCUGCUAAGAAGAGACCUGCUUGGGCCCAGGAGCUCAUGGAACUACAUUAAACAUCUUUGGUUCCACCCACCAUGUAAACUGCAGUGCAGGGGAGCAGAUGGUUUCUACAUGUGGAGGUGUGACGGUGUGCGGGGGCUUUGCUGGAGACACUGUUGGUGAUUUAAGGCCUACUUAAGGAGCGUCAUGCCACCUGGUUUGAGCUUAGCGGACCAGGACAAAGACCCCAACACACCUCCAGGCUCUGUGAGGGCUACCAAGAAGGAGUGGCCUCCACCAUCACCCCCCUAAACCCACUUGAGGGGGUCUGGGAGGAGUUGAACUGCAGAGUGAAGGCAAAGCAGCCAACAAGUGGAGCUGCUUGAAGACUCCUGGAGAACCUUCCAGGUGACUCCCUCGUGGAGCUGCUUGAAGACUCCUGGAGAACCUUCCAGGUGUCUCCCUCGUGGAGCUGCUUGAAGACUCCUGGAGAACCUUCCAGGUGACUCCCUCGUGGAGCUGCUUGAAGACUCCUGGAGAACCUUCCAG